CUUCAACGAGCCGAGCCACAGCGGGCGUUCGCCCGUUCGCUCCUGGCCGUACGUCGCCAGCAGGGCCUGCGCCUC
Molecule: antisense RNA, 75 nt
Filed under: Streptomyces sp. ADI95-17
Lineage: Bacteria; Bacillati; Actinomycetota; Actinomycetes; Kitasatosporales; Streptomycetaceae
Description: ASpks TB sRNA
Rfam family: ASpks TB sRNA
Source: Rfam by way of RNAcentral